This is a small nuclear RNA of Ochotona princeps (American pika), 107 nucleotides long. The record is from RefSeq and is a predicted model, not a curated record. Lineage: Eukaryota; Metazoa; Chordata; Mammalia; Lagomorpha; Ochotonidae.
GUGGUUCCUACUUCGAAAGCACACACACUAUAACUGGAAUAAUGCAGAGAUUGACAUGGCCCCUGUACAAGGAUGACACACAAAUUUGUGAAAUGAUCCUGAUUUUU